AGUCAUUGAUAGGGAUAGUUGGAGUCGCUAGUAUUCAGCGGCCAGAGUUGAAAUUCGCGGCUUCGCUGAAAACAAACUUACGCGAAAGCCUUCACCAUGUAUGUCUUCUUUAAUCAAGAACGAAAGUUGGGGGAUCGAAGACGAUCAGAUACCGUCGUAGUCUCAACCAUAAACUAUGCCGACUAGGGAUGAGUGAACGUUGCAUUUUCGACUUCAUUCGCACAUUAUGAGAAAUCAAAGUCUUUGGGUUCCGGGGGGAGUCAGGU
This 266-nucleotide ribosomal RNA is filed under the name uncultured flagellate. RNAcentral describes it as "partial 18S ribosomal RNA". It matches the Rfam family "Eukaryotic small subunit ribosomal RNA", at positions 864 to 1129 of the family's 1831-position model. The record is from RNAcentral.